GCCCCAGUGAAAAUGCCCUUACAAUUCACUUUGAAACAAGGAGCCGGUAUCAGGCUCUACAAUUUGCCCAUGACACCUAGCUACGCCACACCUACACAGGACCUCAGCAGUGAUUAAUAUUGACCAAUAAGCGCCAGCUUGACUCAAUUACAGAUUAAAGAGUUGGCCAAAACCGGUGCCAGCCGCCGCGGUUAUACCCUAAACUCAAACUGACUUAUGUCGGUGUAAAGCGUGAUUAAAGACUAUACCAAAAUCGAGUUAAACUUGUAUCAAGCCGUAAAAAGUUUUGUUACUAAUGAAAACCACCAACGAAGGUGACUCCACUAUCUUGACCUCACAACAAUGGGGAGACAAACUGGGAUUAGAUACCCCACUAUGCCCCAUCGUAAACUUUUAUUUACACUCCAACCACCAGGAGACUACGAGCUAAGCUUAAAAUCCAAAGGACUUGACGGCCCCCUAAAUCACUCUAGAGGAGCCUGUCCUGUGAUCGAUAAUCCACGUUUAACCUCACCCCUUCUAGCUUGUCAGUUUGUAUACCUCCGUCACCAGCUCACCAUAUGAAUGUCACGCCGUGAGCAAGAGCAUAUUACAUAAACAUGUCAGGUCAAGGUGCAAUAUAUGAAGCGGGAAGAGAUGGGCUACAUUUUUUAACAUAAAAAACACGAAUAAUUAACUUAAAACUAAUUUGAAGGCGGAUCUAGUAGUAAAAAGAGAUUAGAAUGUUCUUUUUAAUUUAGCACUGGGGUGUGUACAUACCGCCCGUCACCCCCUUCGAAAUGAACAACAGAGUAUUUAACUAAUUUUAAUACACCUAAAGAAGGGGCAAGUCGUAACAUGGUAAGCGUACCGGAAGGUGCGCUUGGCUAA
This 870-nucleotide non-coding RNA is filed under the name Ceuthomantis smaragdinus. RNAcentral's name for it is "partial 12S ribosomal RNA". It matches the Rfam family "Bacterial small subunit ribosomal RNA", at positions 194 to 1533 of the family's 1533-position model. The record is from RNAcentral. Lineage: Eukaryota; Metazoa; Chordata; Amphibia; Anura; Craugastoridae.